RNAcentral lists this long non-coding RNA (1580 nucleotides) under Mus musculus (house mouse). RNAcentral describes it as "long non-coding RNA chrX:159279995-159281575". Lineage: Eukaryota; Metazoa; Chordata; Mammalia; Rodentia; Muridae. The record is from RNAcentral.
AUUGCACCGCAAAGGUGGUCUUUAGUGAUUCCUGACAUAAUGUGGAAAGUUGUUUUGAAAACAACUUGUGCAGAAACUGAAUGGAGUAUCUCAUUUCUUCUGAUCAGACCCAUAUUAUGGGUUAUUCCAAUUUGUGACUUGUUACACAUUUCAGAGUAACAAAGUAAAGCAUGAUUAGCAUUUCCUAACCUUUUCCAGGAUUUCCUAUCAUAUCUGCAUGUAUAUAGUCUGCCAAGCUCUGGAGUUUUAUUGUAUUUUUUGGCUAGCAGGCAUCUUGGUAGGAUGAGAGAGGAUAAAUACACUUGCCUCACUUUAAAACUAUUUUUCCAUACUUACUCUCAGCCACAGUGUACAGAAAAAUAGCACACAUAUGAAUGAUUUCUUCUAUCUUGCUGUGAGUGGUGAGAGAGGCAUCUCUCCUGUUCCUCACAGCAUAAUAUCUUUAGAUGUUAUCUGCAGAAAUGGAAACAGUUCCAUUUGAAGCAAAAAAAGAAAAUGUGGCAUUUACUAUCCUGUGAUGCCUUCAGUGCACAGCUUUGUAUUUGUCUUAAAAUUACAGAACUGUAUUUUUUCGUUUAGUAGCUCUUCUCCCUCUACCUUGAGAAGCUAUAGAGAGUAUAGCAUUGAGUCAUACUGGUCUCUAGUGAUAACCAAGGACCAGUUUUCAAAGAGGAAAUAAACCUCUUAGCUGCAACAGUAACAGUCAUCUCUAAUAAUGUUUGAAUUGUUGUUUUGAUGAAUGAUACCAAAGUUUUGUUAAGACAAAUAUUUUCUUUUUUAGUAGAUAAGGAAAUUUGUAAAUUUGGUAUAUAGGAUAACACUGCCUUUCAUAUUUUCCUUUAAUAAUGAAGUUCAAGAUUAUUAACUCUGUGCUAAAGUCAGAAAGAAGUGGAUUAUUCCCCAACACAAAGCACUAGAAUACCAUUGAGAUCAUGUUUCACUUCAGUCAUUUUUUAAAAGGUUUAUUUUCAAUGUUAAUCAGCUAAAUAGCUCAGAGAAGAUAAUACGUUAUCAAAAUUUGUAAGUGACAUGAAGUUGAAAAUAGUGAGGUGGUUUACAGGAUUUUUAUUCCACCCUAUGAAACUGUAGCAAUAGACUAUAGGUGAAAAAGAUUAAUCAAAAUAUAAGGCUUUUCUGUGGAAAUAAAUAAUAACAGGUUCAAGAUGAAAAGGUAUUCUGUUGGCACAUAAUAAGUUGUACUGUAAGUCAAAGGGGGUGGGCACUACGUGGUUCUUCAAGGAAAGGUAGCUGCUGGGAAGCUUGACGGCCUUAGUUUAAUCUCUGGGACCCACAUAGUAGAAGAGAAGCCAACUCCUUCAGGUUGCCUCUGACCUUCAUACACACACUGUAGCAUAUAUAAUGCCCCCACUACCACCAAGACCAAUUGAAAUAAACGAUGGGACUAGACAACUAGAUCAAUAGUUAAGAGGAGUUUUUCUUGCAGACCCAUAUUCAGUUCCCAGCACCUAUAUUAGGUGGUUCAGAACUAUCCAGUAAAUCCAGGGGAUGCAACAUAUCUAGCCUCCAUCAGCACCUGCAUACACCUUCACAUACCGACCCACAGACAUGCAGAUAUACGU